GCGCUGCUGAGGAGUUCCACAAUAGGACGAAACGGCAGUCCAGUGC
RNAcentral lists this non-coding RNA (46 nucleotides) under Schistosoma haematobium. Lineage: Eukaryota; Metazoa; Platyhelminthes; Trematoda; Strigeidida; Schistosomatidae. The record is from RNAcentral.